CUGUAAUGUGAAUCAAAUCAUCUGCCACAAUCAGAAACCAAAAAAAUGUAUAAACUCAUCUACUGGCAAUGGUUAAUUUGGUAGAAAUUUUUAGAUUAUCUACAUUCUGUAUGCAAAUCCUCAGAGAAUCCCUGAAGCUGGAUGUACUAAUAUGAAUGUAAUGUCUCAUUAGGAGUGUAGUCUAUCCUUGAAUUACAUUAAAUGGGGAAUAUUUUUAGUGUCCAGGACUCAGAUGAAGAGGAUGUUAGUAUGCGUUGUUGAGAGGAACUGCCCUACAGUGACUGGCCAUAGUGCUUACUGGAACUCUACAGAUCUUGCUGGACCAGCAGUAUCGUUUUUGUGGCCAUCACAGGUUUCAGUGGAGCACCCC
This is a long non-coding RNA of Fundulus heteroclitus (mummichog), 370 nucleotides long. RefSeq lists it as uncharacterized. The record is from RefSeq and is a predicted model, not a curated record. The transcript is spliced from 2 exons. NCBI's taxonomy places the organism in Eukaryota, Metazoa, Chordata, Actinopteri, Cyprinodontiformes, Fundulidae.